This 1065-nucleotide long non-coding RNA is filed under the name Marmota monax (woodchuck). Lineage: Eukaryota; Metazoa; Chordata; Mammalia; Rodentia; Sciuridae. The record is from RNAcentral.
AAAUAUUUACCAAGCGCCCACCGGGUGCCCAGUACCGGAACGAUAGCCGAGGGGAUGCGGAGGGAGGAAUCCGUGCCGGCCCUGCCCUCCUGGGACUCGCAGCUGGGACAAGGAAGGAGAUCUGAGCCGACCCACGGAGUAGGGCUGCGGUGGGAAAAGGAAAGUUGGGGGGAAGCGCGGGAAUAGGAGCUGGCUACUAGGGAGCGGCGACCCUUGGCCCCGACUCGUCACUUGGUUCUCCCAUCACUCCCCCUACUCCCGCCACUCGACCCCUCCACAGCUCCCCAACAUAACUUGGCGCUGGCCAUUCUCACGGCCUGGAACUCUCCGGGUCCCCUCCCCCGCCCAGGUGCCACUUCCUGCAGGAGACCUUUUCAGACCAGCAGAGCUAAGGUGGCUUCCUCCCCUCACCCCACGUACACUUGUUUUAUUUUCUGUUAUUUCUCUCACUGUCUGGAAUGACGUCUUUGUCCUCCUGUCGCCCUCACUAGAAACCCAGGAGCUACCCAGUGAUCUUGGUAGCUCCUGUGCUCGAGGUGCCUUGAACCUGGGAGCCACUGUGGCCACACAAUCCAUAUCCAUUGAGUGCAUAAGAGAAAUCUUUGUCCCCCACGCCCUGCCGGGCUUUGAGACCAUUCCACCCACCCCUCAACCUGAGACAGGUCCCCCAGCCCACCCUCUCAGUCCGCCCCUUACCCUGCCUGAGCACAGCUUUUGCAGGUAGGGCCCCCCAGGGGCUGAGCCCAGAGACCUCCCUCCUCUUCCCUCUAAUCUUCUGUCCAUCACAAAGGACAAUUCGCCUACCCCACCACGCAGACCCCCUCACAACUCAGAACUGAAGAUCUCUGCUGUAGGGGACUUUGAGGGCAUCACCACUCCAUGGAGCUUGUUUCCUGGUCUGUAAGACUGAACCUCGCCCCAGGUUUGUCCUUGUGGCUCCCUCCCCAGAAGCUGGGCUUCCAUGGAGAAUCCUGGAGCAGGCUGACAUGAUCAGUGAGGGACUGAGCUUGGGAAAGGGGCUUUUGUUCGGGGACACUCUGGCUAGGCCUUUCUUGGGGACUGGAG